This 545-nucleotide ribosomal RNA is filed under the name uncultured bacterium. RNAcentral describes it as "bacterial SSU rRNA". It matches the Rfam family "Bacterial small subunit ribosomal RNA", at positions 289 to 844 of the family's 1533-position model. The record is from RNAcentral.
GGCCUGAGAGGGUGACCGGCCACAUUGGGACUGAGAUACGGCCCAGACUCCUACGGGAGGCAGCAGUGGGGAAUAUUGCACAACGGGCGGAAGCCUGAUGCAGCAACGCCGCGUGCGGGAUGACGGCCUUCGGGUUGUAAACCGCUUUCGCCUGUGACGAAGCGUGAGUGACGGUAAUGGGUAAAGAAGCACCGGCUAACUACGUGCCAGCAGCCGCGGUGAUACGUAGGGUGCGAGCGUUGUCCGGAUUUAUUGGGCGUAAAGGGCUCGUAGGUGGUUGAUCGCGUCGGAAGUGUAAUCUUGGGGCUUAACCCUGAGCGUGCUUUCGAUACGGGUUGACUUGAGGAAGGUAGGGGAGAAUGGAAUUCCUGGUGGAGCGGUGGAAUGCGCAGAUAUCAGGAGGAACACCAGUGGCGAAGGCGGUUCUCUGGGCCUUUCCUGACGCUGAGGAGCGAAAGCGUGGGGAGCGAACAGGCUUAGAUACCCUGGUAGUCCACGCUGUAAACGGUGGGUACUAGGUGUGGGGUCCAUUCCACGGGUUCCGU